GACGAACGCUGGCGGCGUGCUUAACACAUGCAAGUCGAACGGAAAGGCCCUGCUUUUGUGGGGUGCUCGAGUGGCGAACGGGUGAGUAACACGUGAGUAACCUGCCCUUGACUUUGGGAUAACUUCAGGAAACUGGGGCUAAUACCGGAUAGGAGCUCCUGCCGCAUGGUGGGGGUUGGAAAGUUUCGGCGGUUGGGGAUGGACUCGCGGCUUAUCAGCUUGUUGGUGGGGUAGUGGCUUACCAAGGCUUUGACGGGUAGCCGGCCUGAGAGGGUGACCGGCCACAUUGGGACUGAGAUACGGCCCAGACUCCUACGGGAGGCAGCAGUGGGGAAUAUUGCACAAUGGGCGGAAGCCUGAUGCAGCAACGCCGUGUGCGGGAUGACGGCCUUCGGGUUGUAAACCGCUUUCGCCUGUGACGAAGCGUGAGUGACGGUAAUGGGUAAAGAAGCACCGGCUAACUACGUG
This 468-nucleotide ribosomal RNA is filed under the name uncultured bacterium. Its description in RNAcentral is "partial 16S ribosomal RNA". It matches the Rfam family "Bacterial small subunit ribosomal RNA", at positions 28 to 507 of the family's 1533-position model. The record is from RNAcentral.